This 253-nucleotide ribosomal RNA is filed under the name uncultured bacterium. RNAcentral's name for it is "partial 16S ribosomal RNA". It matches the Rfam family "Bacterial small subunit ribosomal RNA", at positions 524 to 776 of the family's 1533-position model. The record is from RNAcentral.
UACGUAGGGUGCGAGCGUUAAUCGGAAUUACUGGGCGUAAAGUGUGCGCAGGCGGCGCCGCAAGUCGAGUGUGAAAGCCCCGGGCUUAACUUGGGAACUGCGCUCGAAACUAUGGUGCUGGAGUGUGGCAGAGGAAGGUGGAAUUCCACGUGUGGCGGUGAAAUGCGUAGAGAUGUGGAGGAACACCGAUGGCGAAGGCAGCCUUCUGGGCCAACACUGACGCUCAUGCACGAAAGCGUGGGGAGCAAACAGG